GAAAUCACCGGCCUAGCCGGUAUAAAAUUCUAUCCACCCUUGUGUGCAAAUAAUGGAAAAAGAGAGAAAAUUGGAUACUUUUUGUAUCCAACUUCUCUAAAUUUCUUUAUAAACUCCAUCAAAUUUUGAAUGAAAACAAUUUUUUUUUUAAUAAAAAAUAUUAUA
Molecule: unclassified non-coding RNA, 165 nt
Filed under: uncultured fungus
Lineage: Eukaryota; Fungi
Description: sequence contains ITS1, 5.8S rRNA gene
Source: RNAcentral